Molecule: non-coding RNA, 367 nt
Organism: Enterococcus saccharolyticus
Lineage: Bacteria; Bacillati; Bacillota; Bacilli; Lactobacillales; Enterococcaceae
Rfam family: transfer-messenger RNA
About the family: Bacterial tmRNA, also known as 10Sa RNA or SsrA, is named for its dual tRNA and mRNA-like properties. Its role is to liberate the mRNA from a stalled ribosome.
Source: Rfam
GGGGGCGUUACGGAUUCGACAGGCAUAGUUCGAACUUGAAUUGCGUUUCGUAGGUUACGUCUACGUAAAAACGUUACAGUUAAAUAUAACUGCUAAAAACAAUAACUCUUACGCUUUAGCUGCCUAAAAACAGUUAACGUAGAUCCUCCCGGCAUCGCCCAUGUGCUCGGGUCAGGGUCCUAUUCUAAGUGGGAUACGCUAAAUUUUUCCGUCUGUAAAAUUUAGAAGAGAUUAUCAGACUAGCGACAUAAAUAGCCUGUCACUCGGCGAUUUAUCGAGCGAACCUCUUAAAUAGAACUGACUAUGAACGUAGAUUUUUGAGUGGCGAUAUGUUUGGACGCGGGUUCGACUCCCGCCGCCUCCAUAU